RNAcentral lists this ribosomal RNA (448 nucleotides) under uncultured bacterium. RNAcentral's name for it is "bacterial SSU rRNA". It matches the Rfam family "Bacterial small subunit ribosomal RNA", at positions 355 to 818 of the family's 1533-position model. The record is from RNAcentral.
UGGGGAAUCUUGGACAAUGGGGGCAACCCUGAUCCAGCCAUGCCGCGUGAGUGAUGAAGGCCUUAGGGUCGUAAAGCUCUUUCGCCUGUGAAGAUAAUGACGGUAGCAGGUAAAGAAACCCCGGCUAACUCCGUGCCAGCAGCCGCGGUAAUACGGAGGGGGUUAGCGUUGUUCGGAAUUACUGGGCGUAAAGCGCACGUAGGCGGACCAGAAAGUUGGGGGUGAAAUCCCGGGGGCUCAACCCCGGAACUGCCUCCAAAACUAUUGGUCUAGAGUUCGAGAGAGGUGAGUGGAAUUCCAAGUGUAGAGGUGAAAUUCGUAGAUAUUUGGAGGAACACCAGUGGCGAAGGCGGCUCACUGGCUCGAUACUGACGCUGAGGUGCGAAAGUGUGGGGAGCAAACAGGAUUAGAUACCCUGGUAGUCCACACCGUAAAACGAUGAAGUGCC